RNAcentral lists this non-coding RNA (21 nucleotides) under Arabidopsis thaliana (thale cress). The record is from RNAcentral. Lineage: Eukaryota; Viridiplantae; Streptophyta; Magnoliopsida; Brassicales; Brassicaceae.
UGAAAAGCCAGUGGCGCGAAG